UGAGGAAUAUUGGUCAAUGGGCGAGAGCCUGAACCAGCCAAGUCGCGUGAAGGAUGAAGGUUCUAUGGAUUGUAAACUUCUUUUAUAUGGGAAUAAAGUGCAGCACGUGUGCUGUUUUGUAUGUACCUUAUGAAUAAGCAUCGGCUAACUCCGUGCCAGCAGCCGCGGUAAUACGGAGGAUGCGAGCGUUAUCCGGAUUUAUUGGGUUUAAAGGGUGCGUAGGUGGUGAUUUAAGUCAGCGGUGAAAGUUUGUGGCUCAACCAUAAAAUUGCCGUUGAAACUGGGUUACUUGAGUAUAUUUGAGGUAGGCGGAAUGCGUGGUGUAGCGGUGAAAUGCAUAGAUAUCACGCAGAACUCCAAUUGCGAAGGCAGCUUACUAAACUAUAACUGACACUGAAGCACGAAAGCGUGGGUAUCAAACA
Molecule: ribosomal RNA, 422 nt
Filed under: uncultured Parabacteroides sp.
Lineage: Bacteria; Pseudomonadati; Bacteroidota; Bacteroidia; Bacteroidales; Tannerellaceae
Description: partial 16S ribosomal RNA
Rfam family: Bacterial small subunit ribosomal RNA
Source: RNAcentral